AAAUGUGCCGUUAAAGGUACCAAAUCGUCGGGUAUAUUCUCGAACGGUAGCAUAUAGUUGUAGGAGAUCUGCAUCAGAGGCAUAUUAGAAAUUGCCUACAGUAUGCUCACCUGAAACUCCAGUCCAUGUUUUUCGCGACAAUAGUCCUUAAUACGUGGAUAACACUUGGCCAUCAGCGUAUUGCGCUCCAUUGUGGUAUCUAAACAUAGUUUAAAUUUCAAGGUCAACAAGCAAAUUCAACAAACUUAUGCAAUCAAUUGGCCAGCAAUUUCAAAAAGCACACACCUGUGAAAGUGGAACUGGUGAAAAUGCGCACAAUUUUCGAACUAACUGGCGGCAGGGACUCCAGCGAGCCCGCGAAAAUCGAGUCAAUCGUGCGAUCAUCCAUUUUUUGGAGUCACCAGGCGCUUGAGAGCCUGCAACUAGGCAAAUUGAAGACGCGUUUUACUUUUAACUUGUUUUGCGACCACUUUUGCUGAAACUCAAUACGCGACUGCGAUGAAAAUUUGUGCAUGAAAACAUUAAAUCCCCAUUGACAGCCCAAUAAAUUGGCCGAAAAUAUCACAAAUGCGACUUUUGUUGUUUGAUCGAUAACGCUUUCUGAUUGUAGCAGUCAAUCACUGAGGCGCAAGAGCGCAGGCGAGCAGUGGCGGACCAUAUAGCUGGGUCAAUAUGGCAGCGGGAGAAAGUGUUUGCGGGGUGUAGUUGAGCGUAUGGCAGCACCUGACAGGACGAGAUUUUGUAGGGAAAAUCUGCACAUACAUACAUACAUAAUUGAGUUCAAAUGGCAGUCGCGUUUCCUUUAAACGAUUUGUGUCGCUUAUGAGACCCAUAUUUACAUAUCAGCAUAAUAUUGCCAUUAAAGCGAUGGCAUGCAACAUCACUUAUGGUUGCCGUUAAUUAUAUAAAUUAUGCUAUUACAUUUGUGUGAACUAAAUAUUAUAUGUAUAUAUGUAAAUAUAUUUAUGUAUGUUUGUAAGACUAUGUAAUGGCUUAACAUGUAUUUAACGGCAUUGCGCUGCACAUUAAAUUAAUGGUAGUGUUCCAAAUAAUUUAUGAACUCCGUUGGUUCUUUUAAUACUUGCUCAUAUGGGCAU
Bactrocera neohumeralis is the source of this 1097-nucleotide long non-coding RNA. RefSeq lists it as uncharacterized. The record is from RefSeq and is a predicted model, not a curated record. The transcript has 3 exons. Lineage: Eukaryota; Metazoa; Arthropoda; Insecta; Diptera; Tephritidae.